AUUCUGCCCAUGCGGGGAAGGAUGAGAAGCUUCGACUAAGGUUCGGCUCGAGCGUCAGCGAGAGAGCGUUGCCGCAGGCAACGACCCGAAGGGCGAAGCGCGCAGCGCUGAGUAAUCCUUGCCCCACCACCA
Molecule: small RNA, 132 nt
Filed under: Escherichia coli
Lineage: Bacteria; Pseudomonadati; Pseudomonadota; Gammaproteobacteria; Enterobacterales; Enterobacteriaceae
Description: RtT sRNA
Rfam family: RtT RNA
About the family: This family represents a bacterial cis-regulatory element known as RtT RNA. The exact function of RtT is unknown although it is thought that it may be involved in changing the cellular response in relation to amino acid starvation.
Source: RNAcentral